UACGUAGGGUGCAAGCGUUGUCCGGAAUUAUUGGGCGUAAAGAGCUCGUAGGCGGUUCGUCGCGUCGGCUGUGAAAAACCUGAGGCUCAACCUCAGGCCUGCAGUCGAUACGGGCGGACUUGAGUACUGCAGGGGGAGACUGGAAUUCCUGGUGUAGCGGUGAAAAUGCGCAGAUAUCAGGAGGAACACCGGUGGCGAAGGCGGGGUCUCUGGGCAGUAACUGACGCUGAGGAGCGAAAGCGUGGGGGAGCGAACAGGA
This 259-nucleotide ribosomal RNA is filed under the name uncultured bacterium. RNAcentral's name for it is "partial 16S ribosomal RNA". It matches the Rfam family "Bacterial small subunit ribosomal RNA", at positions 524 to 777 of the family's 1533-position model. The record is from RNAcentral.